Molecule: ribosomal RNA, 492 nt
Filed under: uncultured bacterium
Lineage: Bacteria
Description: partial 16S ribosomal RNA
Rfam family: Bacterial small subunit ribosomal RNA
Source: RNAcentral
AGUGAACGCUGGCGGUAGGCCUAACACAUGCAAGUCGAACGGCAGCACAGUAAGAGCUUGCUCUUACGGGUGGCGAGUGGCGGACGGGUGAGGAAUACAUCGGAAUCUACUUUUUCGUGGGGGAUAACGUAGGGAAACUUACGCUAAUACCGCAUACGACCUACGGGUGAAAGCAGGGGAUCUUCGCACCUUGCGCGAUUGAAUGAGCCGAUGUCGGAUUAGCUAGUUGGCGGGGUAAAGGCCCACCAAGGCGACGAUCCGUAGCUGGUCUGAGAGGAUGAUCAGCCACACUGGAACUGAGACACGGUCCAGACUCCUACGGGAGGCAGCAGUGGGGAAUAUUGGACAAUGGGCGCAAGCCUGAUCCAGCCAUACCGCGUGGGUGAAGAAGGCCUUCGGGUUGUAAAGCCCUUUUGUUGGGAAAGAAAAGCAGCAGGUUAAUACCCCGCUGUUCUGACGGUACCCAAAGAAUAAGCACCGGCUAACUUCGUG